This 414-nucleotide ribosomal RNA is filed under the name uncultured bacterium. RNAcentral's name for it is "bacterial SSU rRNA". It matches the Rfam family "Bacterial small subunit ribosomal RNA", at positions 355 to 786 of the family's 1533-position model. The record is from RNAcentral.
UGGGGAAUAUUGCACAAUGGGCGCAAGCCUGAUGCAGCAACGCCGCGUGAAGGAAGACGGUUUUCGGAUUGUAAACUUCUGUUCUUAGUGAAGAAGAAUGACGGUAGCUAAGGAGCAAGCCACGGCUAACUACGUGCCAGCAGCCGCGGUAAUACGUAGGUGGCAAGCGUUGUCCGGAAUUACUGGGUGUAAAGGGAGCGCAGGCGGGGAAGCAAGUCAGUUGUGAAAUCCAUGGGCUUAACCCGUGAACUGCAGUUGAAACUGUUCUUCUGAGUGAAGUAGAGGUUGGCGGAAUUCCGAGUGUAGCGGUGAAAUGCGUAGAUAUUCGGAGGAACACCGGUGGCGAAGGCGGCCAACUGGGCUUUUACUGACGCUGAGGCUCGAAAGUGUGGGGAGCAAACAGGAUUAGAUACC